AAGGCGGCGCUGGGAGCCGCUCAGAGCCCAGAGAAGCGGCGCGCGGCCAGGAGCCCCCGCUCCGCCACUGCCGUGCCUGCCUCCCGCAGCUGUCUGCCAUGCGCUCGCCGGGGCAGGGGCGCCCGGAGGGCGGCUAGAGCUGGGCCUGAGCCCGGGAACGCGCCUGAUCAGGGGUGGCGGAGCCGCGGUCCCCACAGCCGCCCCACCCGCGCCGCUGCCUCGCUGGGGCCCGGGCCCCCUUCCCGUUACUCCCCUGCUGGUGCCUCCCUCCUUGGCGCGCUUCCCACCUGCGAUCGGCGCCCUCUUCGCAGUCACGAACUCGCCAGCAGCUAGCAGCACUGACUAGUAGGAGGGCCCGCCGGAGGAGAGGACAUGCUCUGGAGUCAGAAGACAGCGAAAAGAGAAGCAGAAGCCCCGGUGGCAAGAGUCUGAAGCAGGAAGGAUGACUGUAGCCUGUGGAUUGUACUGCAGUAGGAAACUGUCCUAGCAAGGCUCCACUUUGCCCCAGCUUCAAGCUGGAAAGGAGGAGAACAUGAAACAUUGCUUGAAGACAAUGGCCGAGACAGCAGGUCCCACCCUGCACAGCCACCAGCAUCUCUCCCCUCAGCCCUGUCUCCUCUUCUGCAGUUGGGAUCUGCACAUUUAAGCCUGAAAUUGUCCUGUGAAGUGAAGUAUGAUCGGACAGCCUCUUUUCAGCUUUUAUGACAAUGGAGACAGAGGAAUUGUGGCUCUUGCCAAGGUCACAGGAUUGGAAUACAGAGCCAAGCCACCCCAGGACAUGCAAGAGCCUCAGAAGGGAAAAAAGCCCAGCAGGAAGGGAGAACAAGUAGCCUCUGUCCUGAAGUUGUAACAGCCAGGGGCCAGGAUGGAGGAGGAGGACCCCAUAAUCUGCCCAUCUGGGACUUGGCAGGGGACCUGGGAAAAUGUACCCCAACCCAUCCCUUAAGGGCCUUUGUC
Molecule: long non-coding RNA, 957 nt
Filed under: Homo sapiens (human)
Lineage: Eukaryota; Metazoa; Chordata; Mammalia; Primates; Hominidae
Description: MIR9-3 host gene
Source: RNAcentral